Molecule: long non-coding RNA, 336 nt
Organism: Cydia splendana
Lineage: Eukaryota; Metazoa; Arthropoda; Insecta; Lepidoptera; Tortricidae
Exons: 3
Source: RefSeq, a predicted model, not a curated record
UGUGGGUACUUAGACAACGAUAUAUAUAAUAAAUAUAUAUACAUACUUAUAUAAAUAGAAAACAACCAUGACUCAGGAACAAAUAUCCGUGUUCAUCACACAAAUAAAUGCCCUUACCGGGAUUCGAACCCAGGACCAUCGGCUUCGCAGGCAGGGUCACUACCCACUAGGCCAGACCGGUCUACGCCAUUUAUUUGCGAACAACCCGAAUACCCACAUACCAUAUUUAUCAAAGAUUAUAACUACCUACAUUACACUCCUCUACGCUAAUUUUAUGCACUAAUAUUCUAAGGAACCUUUUAACCGCCAUCUAUUGAGCUGGAGACGAAUGUUAUC